Molecule: non-coding RNA, 30 nt
Filed under: Mus musculus (house mouse)
Lineage: Eukaryota; Metazoa; Chordata; Mammalia; Rodentia; Muridae
Source: RNAcentral
UAGAACUUUCUGUCCAUGACACUGACUGCA